CAUAGCAAAGUCGAAACGAGACUUGGGGCUCGGCUCAAAGUUUAGUGGCAGACGGGGUGAGUAAACGCGUGGGAAUUACCCCUUUGGUGGAGAAUAACUGUUGGAAACGACAGCUAAUACUCCAUAAGCUGGGAAAACCAGGAAAAGAUUUAUCGCAAAGGAGGAGCCCGCGUCAGAUUAGGUGGUUGGUGGGGUAAAGGCGUACCAGGCCUGUGAUCUGUAGCUGGUCUGAGAGGAUGACCAGCCACACUGGGACUGAGACACGGCCCAGACUCCUACGGGAGGCAGCAGUGGGGAAUAUUGGACAAUGGGCGAAAGCCUGAUCCAGCAAUACCGAGUGAGUGAUGAAGGCCUUAGGGUUGUAAAGCUCUUUUAGCAGGGAAGAUAAUGACGUUACCUGCAGAAAAAGCCCCGGCUAACUCCGUGC
RNAcentral lists this ribosomal RNA (427 nucleotides) under uncultured Rickettsia sp. RNAcentral's name for it is "bacterial SSU rRNA". It matches the Rfam family "Bacterial small subunit ribosomal RNA", at positions 54 to 508 of the family's 1533-position model. The record is from RNAcentral. Lineage: Bacteria; Pseudomonadati; Pseudomonadota; Alphaproteobacteria; Rickettsiales; Rickettsiaceae.